This 376-nucleotide ribosomal RNA is filed under the name Listeria monocytogenes. RNAcentral's name for it is "bacterial SSU rRNA". It matches the Rfam family "Bacterial small subunit ribosomal RNA", at positions 802 to 1178 of the family's 1533-position model. Lineage: Bacteria; Bacillati; Bacillota; Bacilli; Caryophanales; Listeriaceae. The record is from RNAcentral.
GUAAACGAUGUCUACUUGGAGGUUGUGCCCUUGAGGCGUGGCUUCCGGAGCUAACGCGUUAAGUAGACCGCCUGGGGAGUACGACCGCAAGGUUAAAACUCAAAUGAAUUGACGGGGGCCCGCACAAGCGGUGGAGCAUGUGGUUUAAUUCGAUGCAACGCGAAGAACCUUACCUGGUCUUGACAUCCACGGAAGUUUUCAGAGAUGAGAAUGUGCCUUCGGGAACCGUGAGACAGGUGCUGCAUGGCUGUCGUCAGCUCGUGUUGUGAAAUGUUGGGUUAAGUCCCGCAACGAGCGCAACCCUUGUCCUUUGUUGCCAGCGAUUAGGUCGGGAACUCAAAGGAGACUGCCAGUGAUAAACUGGAGGAAGGUGGGG